RNAcentral lists this unclassified non-coding RNA (511 nucleotides) under Hevea brasiliensis (rubber tree). Lineage: Eukaryota; Viridiplantae; Streptophyta; Magnoliopsida; Malpighiales; Euphorbiaceae. The record is from RNAcentral.
AGUCGAUACUUUUCAUUUAAUUGCAUUUUCAUUUUUUUUUUAAUUUUGUUUUAUAAGCUUUGAGAAUGAAGAACAUAGGCUUCAGCUCGGGGCAGGUUGGUGUUGAACCUCAAGUAACAAGUUUUCUGCCUAGUAUUUUAGUUUGAAAGUGAUAAGAGUAGGUGUACUCCUUUUUCAUCUGUAUUGAGAAGAAAUAAUUAUUGCAAUGACAUAUUAGACUUAUAGGGCUGUAUUUUUGGUCUCCGAAUUGUUGUUAAUCAGAAAAGUUAAGAGGUAAAAGGUAGUGUAGUGCUUCAACCUUUCAUUGUGAUCAUAUCUUAUGGGACAACGUGAAAAGAGAAACGAGACUCUUUUUGGUUUUGCUGUGUGAGUAAAUGCUGCAUUACUGUCAGGGAUCAGAGAAUAACUAUAAUGUACAAUAACGAUUGGUUGACUAUUCUUCUGUCUUGAAACAACAUUGUAAAGAAACUUUAAUUUAAGGCAUGCUAAAAGAUUCCCCUCCCCCCGCCUU